RNAcentral lists this ribosomal RNA (805 nucleotides) under uncultured organism. RNAcentral's name for it is "bacterial SSU rRNA". It matches the Rfam family "Bacterial small subunit ribosomal RNA", at positions 517 to 1326 of the family's 1533-position model. The record is from RNAcentral.
GCGGUAAUACGGAGGAUGCAAGCGUUAUCCGGAUUUAUUGGGUUUAAAGGGUGCGCAGGCGGAUUAGUAAGUCAGUGGUGAAAGCUCCCGGCUCAACCGGGAAAAUGCCAUUGAUACUGUUAAUCUUGAGUACAGUUGAGGUUGGCGGAAUGUAUCAUGUAACGGUGAAAUGCAUAGAUAUGAUACAGAACACCGAUAGCGAAGGCAGCUUACCAAACUGUAACUGACGCUCAUGCACGAAAGCGUGGGGAGCAAACAGGAUUAGAUACCCUGGUAGUCCACGCUGUAAACUAUGAUCACUCGCUGUUGGCGAUACACUGUCAGCGGCUUAGCGAAAGUGUUAAGUGAUCCACCUGGGGAGUACGAUCGCAAGGUUGAAACUCAAAGGAAUUGACGGGGGCCCGCACAAGCGGAGGAGCAUGUGGUUUAAUUCGAUGAUACGCGAGGAACCUUACCUGGGCUUAAAUGCAGAACGACCUCCCGAGAAAUCGGGACUUCCUUCGGGACGGACUGCAAGGUGCUGCAUGGUUGUCGUCAGCUCGUGCCGUGAGGUGUCGGGUUAAGUCCCAUAACGAGCGCAACCCUUAUCCUUAGUUGCCAACAGGUAAUGCUGGGAACUCUAAGGAAACUGCCUACGCAAGUAGUGAGGAAGGUGGGGAUGACGUCAAAUCAGCACGGCCCUUAUGUCCAGGGCUACACACGUGCUACAAUGGUCGGUACAGAGGGCAGCUACCUGGCAACAGGAUGCUAAUCUCGAAAGCCGAUCUCAGUUCGGAUUGGAGUCUGCAACUCGACUCCAUGAAGU